This 76-nucleotide transfer RNA is filed under the name Leisingera sp. ANG-Vp. Its description in RNAcentral is "tRNA-Gln". It matches the Rfam family "tRNA". From Rfam's summary of the family: Transfer RNA (tRNA) molecules are approximately 80 nucleotides in length. Their secondary structure includes four short double-helical elements and three loops (D, anti-codon, and T loops). Further hydrogen bonds mediate the characteristic L-shaped molecular structure. tRNAs have two regions of fundamental functional importance: the anti-codon, which is responsible for specific mRNA codon recognition, and the 3' end, to which the tRNAs corresponding amino acid is attached (by aminoacyl-tRNA synthetases). tRNAs cope with the degeneracy of the genetic code in two manners: having more than one tRNA (with a specific anti-codon) for a particular amino acid; and 'wobble' base-pairing, i.e. permitting non-standard base-pairing at the 3rd anti-codon position. Lineage: Bacteria; Pseudomonadati; Pseudomonadota; Alphaproteobacteria; Rhodobacterales; Roseobacteraceae. The record is from RNAcentral.
UGGAAAGUAGCUCAAUUGGAAGAGCAACGGCUUUUGGUGCCGCAGGUUGCAGGUUCGAGUCCUGCCUUUCCAGCCA